AGACCUGAGAGAACAGCAAAAACUCAACAAGAGAAUCCGUGUUUGGGACAAGCCCAGCCUGGGUAUUAACCCAUCUUCUUCUUGCUGGGUUAGAAGACACAAGAUUAAUGCCUGUCUGUGGGGGGUCCACACAGGAAAUCUCAAUUAGCCUGUAUUCAGGGUAAAGGUUCCCAUAUCAAAUUGCAGCUAGGACAUGAAAGGUUUUCAAUAAACAUAAUCUUGACAAAACAUUAUGGGCAAAAAUAAUGCAUUUGUAAAAGCUGUCAUAAUAUAUGUUUCAAGCACUUAGAAGACAUGACAAUAACAAAAUGAUGAAUUUAUUCUUCCUAAUUGGAAAAAAGAUUGAAAAACAAUCAGAAUGUCAUAAAACCUUCUUACCAGAUGGUAUUUACAACACAUCUGUGAUUGUACCAAUGAACCAGACAUAUCUUGUGGAGAUUUUCAGGACAAUAACUUCAAAUUAAUCUAAGGAAAUACACAUUAACCCAACUGGCCAGUUGAGAACAGAAAAUACAUGAGUGUUCGCUAGUAAUGAUGAUGAGUGGCUGACACUCAUUUAGAUUUAAUCUGUUCUGAUUCUGCUUACUCAUUCUUGGUCGGUACUGAACACAAGUUUUAAUUUUUUUGCAUUUCAUUUGAAUACAACAGAAACCAAAAUGUUUUUAAAUAUCAUGUUCUGGCUCCCAUAAUGUGUAUUGUCUUUUCUUUUCUGGUUCAAAGAUCAAAUGAACAGCUGGAACAUUGUAGUGUAACGUUAGCUGAUUCUGGAGCGUCAUGACUGAAUGGGGUCAAUGAAAACCUGCACUUUUGCAUCUGUUGCAGAACAAUACCACGUUCUCUGAGUGUAAAAUGACUCCCCUGCAGUGGUUGCAUUUUUCAGUACCAUCACUGUGUUUUGCAAAGCUGUGUCACACUGUUUAGCAUCCAUCUGGCCGCCAUACAGUAACCACUAUAAACGCAUAUUGAUACAUUCAUAAGUGGAGGUGUAGACUGAGCUUUACCAGCAUAAAGAAACCAAAGUUUGGUUCUUAUAAUCGUGUGCAUACUUCAAAUUUCCAACAAUAAAUUGUUACCCAGCUCUAUUGAUCUCAGUUGGUAACUGGCCAACAACCAUAGCUCUGUUUGUUUUAUUGGUAAUAUUGCAGCUAUCUCCUAUUGCGAUGCAUUUUAGGGAUAUGAUUAGUUAAACUCCUUCUAGUAAAUGAUACAGGUGUACAGAUAUUUCUGUAGGACGACAGUACCAUCUGAGAUAAACUGUUUAACACUAUAUUUGCAUCUUGUGGUUCAAUUUCCUGUCACCACGGUCAUUAGGCAUUUUGGAUGAAAGCAAAGUGAACAUAGCAGAGACGAUAUAAUCACAGAUGUUUUGAAAAUGACACAUCUCGGGGGGCUGAUUUUCAGGAGCGGCUGUCAGGUUUGGGGAAUCAGAUGUGUAACUGAUGGGGUUUGGGGUCUAGGUAGGGAUUGGGAAUGUUGGUGCUUGAACUCUGGGUUUGAGAUACCUUGAGGUGGGGACAUUGACAUUGGGCGGGGUUGGGUAGGGGUGCUAUCAGGGAGUCAUUUAGACCCCCGGCACCACAGUGGCAAAGCAGGAGGACGGGGUCACAGUGUGCUGACUCCACUCCAAGGGACAAAGGGGCUCUCUCUCUUCUUAGUGUCUUAAAGGGGAAAUCCACCCUGAAACAGAAACCACAUUCUCACUUUCAUUUUUCCUGGCCAGUUUUGGAAAAUACUGACAGCAUUAGACUGGAUACAGUAUUCCAUCUUCUGCAACAGUUAGUUGACAACAAAUAUAAGAAAGUACAACAUGAUAUAUUUCCUGAAAUGUUUCUCUCGCUUAAGUCUAAAUGUCAAAAAAAUGUUAAUGCUUUUUCAAAGUUUGACAGUUUGACUUAACAGUAAAGCUGUCCAGGCUUUAAGAGUUAACAUGUGGAUUCUGUUUUGAGGUUGGUGUCCCCUUUACUUUUAUAUUUGUGUCUCUUCAUAUAAUUUGGUAAUUUUUGAUUGGGUUACCUUGACACAUCUGUUUUUUUUCGCUUAUGUAUUUCAUUAAUUUCAGGAUAGCAAGUGACACCAUUUACUGUCAUAAAGGGUUGUGGUUUGCUGUCAAUUGUAUUUUUUUUAAGUUAUGUCUGUACAAACCAAUUUCUUUGCUGCAGUUACUCUUUGCAGCCCAUGUAUUGUAAAUCCUAAUUUGGUCUUGUUUUGUUUGAGAGGAACAAUUCUAUUAACUUACAUUGCCUUAAAUAUCAAGUCUGUUAACUGAAGUUCGCUGGCUGGAUAAAACGUGUUCUAGUUUUUACUGGUGCUUCGCUGUUAGUUUAUACUAGUCCAGACCUGUAUUCAUAAAGCCUCUGAGGACAGGAGCCAUCAGGCCGGAGAAGAAUUCCAUUUGGAGAUUGUAUCUUCUUAUAUUUGUUUGGUCCAUUUUAACUGAGCUUUUUCGUUUCGAUAGCCGGUUGGUUUAGGGCGGGGUGAAAGCUCACUCCAACUAUGAUGCGGACCAAACAACAAAACUCUGGUCUGCUUGAAAACGGGGGUCUUGGUUUGAGUUUGGUUUGGUUCACUUAAGUUGAGAAUACAAUCCAACCCAAAUUCAAGAAGUUAUCCAAAAAACAAGACAAUAACUUUCAAAUCCAUAACCUAUUAUAGCCCUACAUUACUUGUUAUCUGUGUGACAACACAUCAUCAUCAUCAUCUCUCUCUCUCUCUCUCUCUCUCUCUCUCUCUCUCAUCAGGUCCGCACUCUCCUUCACUUGCUGUCUUUUCAGCUGAUAAUUGUUCAUCUUUAUCUAAAAUAUUAGAAACACUGUAGCAGAACCAGAAAACCCAAGACGAAAUAAAUUUGGUGUUGCUCCAAUAUUUCUGAGACCAGAAGUGUUGGCGAGUUUCAGACAUUCUGUCCAAUAAACCGGGACUGUUUCGACCGUGUCACAUUUGUACUCAGUUCAAAGUGCAGUGUGAACGCUAACGGAACCCCAUGUAAAAUGCAACUUCAUCACUUAAUCGCAAAUGCUAUUGUGUAAUAAAAUUGUGAAAGUGCCCUAAGUCUUUAGCCUUAAAUGAAGAGUAUUACACCUUUAUUGCCAAUUGCUAAAAAAUCUGAGAUAAAUUAAAUUGUAUUAAACCUGUUGGUAUUUUAUAGCCUGACGUCAUUUAAUUCUUCUCCUCUGGGCUGUGAUUAUGGGACGUGUUUUAACCAAACCCGGAAAGAACAUGCCUCUGCACUCAACUGGAUAGACCAAUCAGAGCAACGGAGUUUGUGACGUAUGUCGAGCGACAUACAACUGUCAACAGAACUCAGCUGCUAGCUAAAGCUGAUGUUAGCUACUAGCCCCGGCAGUUUGGAAGACACUACUGACGUUACAUCCUCGUUACUGGCUUUACAGCAUCCAUACAUCCCUCGGAUGUAUCAUAAGAUAAUACCAGGGAUGUAUUAAUAGAACACAUGGUGAAUUACAACCAUUAGCUGUAUCCAUUAUUACAGCUACAGGACCUCGGGAGAACCAUCAUGUGAGCAUGCUCAGUGCAGGGCGACGUAGAACUCUUGUUCAAGGAUGGUUCCUGACCGAAGUUCCCGACCUCAAAUGUGGUGGGCGGGGUUAAAUUCGGCUGGCAUCCAGGCUAGGAAUUUUAGGGAAAUGGACUUAAUCUUUGUAAUCUAAAAUAGAAAAAGACAAAAUCCUUUUUAUUGUUUUGUUUGAAUCUAUCUAAUCUAACACAUAGUUGAAGUAGUUUAAACAUAAAAUCCCUGAUAACUUUUUAUACUAAGGUCAUUAAGAAAAUUUGGAUGGCCAGAUUGGCCGACAUAUUGUAAAUAUUGAAAUAGAAAAUAAUGGCUGUGGCUUUGUCUCCAAAUAGUUCAGUAUUUUCUCACAUCGGGAUUUGCCACACAUGUAUACGAUAUGCAAAUCCUUAGGAUUUUUCUUUAAGCUCACUAUUGAAGUCUUGAAACUCAAACGUGAAGUGAAUUCAGUUUCAAAUGAUCAACUGUGGGCUGGGAAUGAAUCUAGACAUUUGUUGAAAGAGACAGGCCCCUGGUCUUUACCAUGUAAAGUUUCAUGCAUUCUCAUAGUUCUACAUCUUUAUCACACCCCCUGCUAUCCUUUAUGAUCAGGUCUGUCGGUUCUGUUCUGAGAUAGAUUUAUGAAUACUAGUCUUAUUUGGACAACCUAGCAGACUUUGUGUAGGAAAAAUGACCGAAGCAUCAAGGCCACUGGCUUCGACAUGAUUCACCUUUAUGAAGAUGUGCUAUAACGCAGCUGUGAGGCUCUUUGUGCUUAACUGUCACUGUCAAAACUGAAGAUGCUACAAUAUUUUGUAUUACUGUUUGGUGUUUUUUUGUAGCACAAAACUACAUAAAGAGGACUCCGAGAGGGCAAAAUCCUUCUGUUUAACAAUGCAGAGUGAGCAUAAUUAUACUGUCUGUUAGCUCUGUAUUAAACUUUAUGUUUGAAUAUUACACUGUAAAAAUAUAAAACAUGGUUCUGAUCAUCAUUUAACGUCUGACCUCUCUCUUGUUAUUCUGUGUAUAAAUAAAUGUAAAAAUACAAAUGAUUUCUCGCCAAGCGUAAUGGUACGCAGCGAGACUCCUUUCAUCCGUUUACAUUUUACAGACCAUAUGAAUGUCAAAUGAAACACUUGUUGAAAAUCCAAAUCUAGAAAGAAAAAAACAUACAAUUUUGAUGUUGUUAAAUACUAUUAUUGCUAUCAAAAA
Long non-coding RNA from Etheostoma spectabile (orangethroat darter), 4717 nucleotides. RefSeq lists it as uncharacterized. The transcript is spliced from 2 exons. Lineage: Eukaryota; Metazoa; Chordata; Actinopteri; Perciformes; Percidae. The record is from RefSeq and is a predicted model, not a curated record.